AGAUAAAUGUCGGUGAUCUUAGACUUUGUACAAAAAAAUUACAUUAUAUAAGUGAGAAAGUAUAUUAGAAAGAUAUUUUAUUUAUUUUCGUACGUAAUAUGAUAUUUCGCGAUAAAUUGGUUACCAUAUAUUUUCUAUUGUCCUACAGGAAAAUACAGAAACAUAUUUUUCUAUAUUUUUAUCUCAAUUUUAUUUUAUCUAAUAGCAUUUGAUAAGUCUCAAUACCAAACUAAGUCUUAAACAUAUUUAUCACCAAAUUUUUAUAGAAAUGGUGCUUGAACUGUGAAUCAUUUUAAAAUAACUAUUUAAUUUUUUAAAAUUUUAAUUUUAUUAUGAGAUACUUUUAGCUUGUUUUAUUGGAGUGAGUCAACAACAUUUUAAUAAAUUUAUAGUUAUAAAUAUUAUACAAAAUAUAUUACUUAAAUAUGUAAAGAUAAGUAAUGAGAUAAAUAUUGUUAACUAACUCAAAUCCGAUAAAUUAAAAUUUUUAAAAAAUCUAAAUAAUCAAAUUAAAAUAAUUUAUAAUUUA
Molecule: long non-coding RNA, 529 nt
Filed under: Ananas comosus (pineapple)
Lineage: Eukaryota; Viridiplantae; Streptophyta; Magnoliopsida; Poales; Bromeliaceae
Description: long non-coding RNA (ACOM_LNC039889)
Source: RNAcentral